UCCUCAGCCGGCUCCAGCCCUUCUACAGGAGUGUCCCCAGAACCAUGGCCGAGUACUCCUAUGUAAAGUCCACCAAACUUGUGCUUAAGGGAAUCAAGGCCAAGAGCAAGAAGAAAAAGAACAAAGAAAAGAAGAGAAAAAGGGAAGAUGAUGAAGAAACCCAACUUGAUAUUGUUGGAAUCUGGUGGACAGGAACACACUUUGGUGAAAUUUCAGGAACCAUAGCAAUUGAAAUGGAUAAAGAAACCUACAUACAUGCACUUGACAAUGGACUUUUUACACUGGGAGCGCCACAUAAAGAAGUUGAUGAGGGCACUAGUCCUCCAGAGCAGUUUACAGCUGUCCAAUUGUCUGGUUCCAGAAUUUCCCUAAAAUCUGGCUACAGAAAAUACCUCGGUAUAAAUUCAGAUGGACUUCUUGUUGGGCGUUCAGAUGCGAUUGGACCAAGAGAACAAUGGGAACCAGUCUUUCAUGAUGGGAAAAUGGCUUUAUUGGCCUCAAAUAGCUGCUUUAUCAGAUGCAAUGAAGCAGGCGAUAUAGAAGCAAAACGUAAAACAGCAGGAGAAGAAGAAAUGAUAAAGAUUAGAUCCUGUGCUGAAAGAGAAACUAAGAAAACAGAUGAUAUUCCAGAAGAAGACAAAGGAAAUGUUAGACAGUGUGAAACCAAUUAUGUAAAGAAUUUUAGAGCUUCCAAGACCACAAAUCUAAAAUAAGUAAAGAAGACAGUAAAAUUUUUAAGAAGGCCUGAAAAGAUGGAUUUUUGCAUGAAACACUUCUGGACAGGAGAGCCAAAUUAAAAGCUGAUAGAUACUGCAAAUGA
Molossus molossus (Pallas's mastiff bat) is the source of this 820-nucleotide RNA transcript. It is a transcript of the gene named protein FRG1-like, with no coding region annotated. Lineage: Eukaryota; Metazoa; Chordata; Mammalia; Chiroptera; Molossidae. The transcript has a single exon. The record is from RefSeq and is a predicted model, not a curated record.